This 467-nucleotide ribosomal RNA is filed under the name uncultured bacterium. RNAcentral describes it as "partial 16S ribosomal RNA". It matches the Rfam family "Bacterial small subunit ribosomal RNA", at positions 28 to 507 of the family's 1533-position model. The record is from RNAcentral.
GACGAACGCUGGCGGCGUGCUUAACACAUGCAAGUCGAACGGAAAGGCCCUGCUUUUGUGGGGUGCUCGAGUGGCGAACGGGUGAGUAACACGUGAGUAACCUGCCCUUGACUUUGGGAUAACUUCAGGAAACUGGGGCUAAUACCGGAUAGGAGCUCCUGCUGCAUGGUGGGGGUUGGAAAGUUUCGGCGGUUGGGGAUGGACUCGCGGCUUAUCAGCUUGUUGGUGGGGUAGUGGCUUACCAAGGCUUUGACGGGUAGCCGGCCUGAGAGGGUGACCGGCCCCAUGGGACUGGGGUACCGGCCAGGACUCUUCCGGGGGCAACCGGUGGGAAUAUUGCCCCAUUGGCCGGAGCCUUAUGGCAGCACCGCCGGUUCGGGAAUACGGGCUUCCGGUUUUAAACCGCCUUUGCCCGUUACCGAGGCUGAGUGACGGUAAUUGGUUAAAAAGCCACCGCUAACUACGUG